This 930-nucleotide ribosomal RNA is filed under the name Triticum aestivum (bread wheat). RNAcentral describes it as "partial small subunit ribosomal RNA". The record is from RNAcentral. Lineage: Eukaryota; Viridiplantae; Streptophyta; Magnoliopsida; Poales; Poaceae.
AUGUCGUCGUCAGUUGGGAUGGAGAAGGCAACGAAUAAAUCAGCGAAGAAGGCAGCGAAGAAGGCAGACAAGACAGACAAGGCAAUUUGGGAUGCAUACCAUACUAGGGUAUUUUGCGAGUUGUGUGCGAGGGAAGUUGAAGCAGGCAAUAGGCCGGGGGCGUUCUUGAGUCCUAGAGGAUAUAAGAAUUUAGGGGAGAGUUGGUUGCAGAUAACUAAGAAAAGUUAUGUGAGGAUGCAAUUCAAGAAUAGAUGGGAAAAUCUCAAAACUAUGUAUUGUCAAUGGAAACAACUGCAAAUUGACGCAUCUGGACUUGGAUGGAAUGCUAAGCUAGGAACCAUUGAUGCUGAUACUGAUUGGUGGAACACUCACCUAAUACAUGCAAAGUAUAGGAAUGGAGGACCACCCAACUUGGCUGAAAUGGACCUCAUGUUUGAUGACCGUCAUGUCACCGGUGCCGAGUCAGCUAUCCCCGGUGAGAUACCAUUGGACAAGGAGGAUGUUAGUGAUGACACUGAUAGUGCAGAGGAUAAUGAUGAAGUCAUCAAAGCAAAACCAAAGAAGCAGCGAAAGACCAAGUCCUGUAAAGAUGAUUUUUCUGCUCAAGAUGAGAAGAACCCAUUUGUUCGGAUGUACAAGAAGGCUAGUGAUGCGAUAUGUGUAACGGCUGAAAGUAUAAAAGAAGCAUCUAGCUCCAGCAUGGCUCGUCCUCCCCCUCCUCUGGUUGCUCCCCCCCCUACUCCGGUUGGACCUAGUAUGAAUGAGGCAAUGAAGAUGGUUCGUGAAUGUGGAGUUGAGGAAGGAAAUCCUCUCUUUUUCUCUUCGAGCAUGCUAUUUAUGAAGGCUGAGUAUAGAGAAAUGUUUGCAUCGGUUCAGACCAAGGAAGGAAGGUUUGAUUGGCUCGAGAGAGCGCAUGAUUAUGCUAUGUAA